Acanthosepion pharaonis is the source of this 96-nucleotide non-coding RNA. The record is from the annotation of a GenBank genome assembly. Lineage: Eukaryota; Metazoa; Mollusca; Cephalopoda; Sepiida; Sepiidae.
UAUAUCACCGGUUCUCGUACGAUCACCGAAGUUAAGCAACGUCGAGCCUGGUCAAUACCUAGAUGAGUGAACGCUUGGAAAUAUCGGGUGUUGUAA